Molecule: long non-coding RNA, 351 nt
Filed under: Citrus sinensis (sweet orange)
Lineage: Eukaryota; Viridiplantae; Streptophyta; Magnoliopsida; Sapindales; Rutaceae
Description: long non-coding RNA (CSIN_LNC000063)
Source: RNAcentral
GGAACAAGAUAUAGAUAUGAACCUACUACCUCACUAUGGUGAUCGAGUAGCUACGAUGAUUAUUGCUGAGUCUAUUACAAAUAAUGAUGAUUCAAUGACAAAUGUUAUUAUCGAGAAGCAGAAGGCUGAACAUGAAAUCCUACCUGAUAAUGAUCUUACAGUACGUGCUCUCCAACAUAACCCCAAGUUGGACAUGGUCUGGAGGCAUGUGUAGUAGCUAUCAAAGCAUUAAUAGGGGUUUCUACGAUACGGACCAGAGUGCUAUGCUGCGGAAACAGAAGUCAAUCGAGCUUAUCUCAAAUCUACCAAAGCAGUCAUCUUUUCUGAUAAAGAUAUUGAGGUAAUAAAUCC